This 211-nucleotide long non-coding RNA is filed under the name Mytilus galloprovincialis (Mediterranean mussel). Lineage: Eukaryota; Metazoa; Mollusca; Bivalvia; Mytilida; Mytilidae. The record is from RNAcentral.
CCAGAGUUGACUACAGGCAUAUUAUUUCUAAAUCUAAUGAUCAUGAUGAUAUACAUAUACAAUUUUAUAAACACAAGAAAAGAGGGUAAUUAGAGAAAAAUUGUACUAGAAAUGAACAAUUAGUUGGAGAGUCCUAGUUUAAAACUAAAAAGAACUUUUUCGGGUUAAUACCAAUUAAAAAAUAAUCGACAAACACGGUAUUUUAAGUCAC